This 373-nucleotide ribosomal RNA is filed under the name uncultured organism. RNAcentral's name for it is "partial 16S ribosomal RNA". It matches the Rfam family "Bacterial small subunit ribosomal RNA", at positions 527 to 896 of the family's 1533-position model. The record is from RNAcentral.
GUAGGUGGCAAGCGUUGUCCGGAAUUAUUGGGCGUAAAGCGCGCGCAGGCGGUUCUUUAAGUCUGAUGUGAAAGCCCACGGCUCAACCGUGGAGGGUCAUUGGAAACUGGAGAACUUGAGUACAGAAGAGGAAAGCGGAAUUCCACGUGUAGCGGUGAAAUGCGUAGAGAUGUGGAGGAACACCAGUGGCGAAGGCGGCUUUUUGGUCUGUAACUGACGCUGAGGCGCGAAAGCGUGGGGAGCAAACAGGGAUUAGAUACCCUGGUAGUCCACGCCGUAAACGAUGAGUGCUAAGUGUUAGGGGGUUUCCCGCCCCUUAGUGCUGCAGCUAACGCAUUAAGCACUCCGCCUGGGGAGUACGGCCGCAAGGCUG